RNAcentral lists this ribosomal RNA (459 nucleotides) under uncultured bacterium. RNAcentral describes it as "partial 16S ribosomal RNA". It matches the Rfam family "Bacterial small subunit ribosomal RNA", at positions 338 to 795 of the family's 1533-position model. The record is from RNAcentral.
CCUACGGGAGGCAGCAGUGAGGAAUAUUGGUCAAUGGUCGGGAGACUGAACCAGCCAAGCCGCGUGAGGGAGGAAGGUACAGAGUAUCGUAAACCUCUUUUGUCAGGGAACAAAGGCGGGGACGUGUCCCCGGAUGAGUGUACCUGAAGAACAAGCAUCGGCUAACUCCGUGCCAGCAGCCGCGGUAAUACGGAGGAUGCGAGCGUUAUCCGGAUUUAUUGGGUUUAAAGGGUGCGCGGGCGGUCUGUUAAGUCAGCGGUCAAAGCCCGGGGCUCACCCCCGGCCCGCCGUUGAAACUGGCAGUCUCGAGUUGGAGAGAAGUAUGCGGAAUGCGCGGUGUAGCGGUGAAAGGCAUAGAUAUCGCGCAGAACUCCGAUUGCGAAGGCAGCAUGCCGGCUCCACACUGACACUGAGGCACGAAAGCGUGGGUAUCGAACAGGAUUAGAUACCCUGGUAGUC